UUACGUGGGACGUAAAGCGCAUGCAGGUGGUUUAGUUAAGUCAGAUGUAGAAACGGCCCGGGGCUACAACCGUACGGUAAUUGCUAUUUAGAAACGUGGACAAACUAGAGUACUGUAGAGGGGGUAGAAUUUCAGGUGUAGCGGUGAAAUGCGUAGAGAUCUGAAGGAAUACCGGUGGCGAAGGCGGCCCCCUGGACAGAUACUGACACUCAGAUGCGAAAGCGUGGGGAGCAAACAGGAUUAGAUACCCUGGUAG
RNAcentral lists this ribosomal RNA (256 nucleotides) under uncultured bacterium. RNAcentral describes it as "partial 16S ribosomal RNA". It matches the Rfam family "Bacterial small subunit ribosomal RNA", at positions 556 to 793 of the family's 1533-position model. The record is from RNAcentral.